AAUUAAUCGAAUUUCCUAUCGUUGUUAAACACUUAAGUGAAAAAUCAAUUAAAAUAGUAAUUUAACGAAUCAGACGCUGUUUGAGAGUAAAGAUGGUUCUGAAAGGUUUUGUGAUUUUAACUAUAAUUGUUGGAAUUCAAUCCUUGAAAGACAAUAAUAUGGAUUUUGAUGCAGACUACUUCUUCAGUGCUCUGCGGACUUCCCAGUCUUGUAUCACCAAAAUCUGCCAAGGUCACUGUGGAAAUAAGAAUAGUGUUUGUAUUUCUGGAAAGUGUUACUGUUUAGAGAAUCGUACUGCUGCUAAUGCUGGAAUCAAAAAGGAAUCUCUAUAUUAUGGACUGCGCCCAACAGUUCGACACCAUAUCGCCCAUUUCUGUCCAAACUUGGAAGUAGCCAGGAGUUGUAUACGAAAAUGUAUGAAAGAAGGUCUGCCAUCCUUCUGUGGCAAGGAUCAUGUAUGCUACUGCGGUCAUAAAUACAGAAAUACCGAUGUAAAUCCGGAAGUAAACGCAAACCAAGUGCAUAAUCAGUUUAAAGAUUUGUAUGCUAAAUAUUUUGGGCCGGAUCUACGUAAUAAGCGAAGUAAUUUAGAUGAAUCGAUCGAGUAUUGAAUAUAUAUAUAUAUAUAU
Long non-coding RNA from Pieris brassicae (large cabbage white), 629 nucleotides. RefSeq lists it as uncharacterized. The record is from RefSeq and is a predicted model, not a curated record. Lineage: Eukaryota; Metazoa; Arthropoda; Insecta; Lepidoptera; Pieridae. The transcript is spliced from 3 exons.